AGACGUCUACAUUAGAUACCCGUGUACGUCCCAGCCGUAAACUAUGCGCGUUAGGUGUAUCGGUGACCACGAGUCACCGAGGUGCCGAAGGGAAACCGUGAAACGUGCCGCCUGGGAAGUACGGUCGCAAGGCUAGAAACUUAAAGGAAUUGGCGGGGGAGCACCACAACGGGUGGAGCCUGCGGUUUAAUUGGACUCAACGCCGGGAAGCUCACCGGAUAAGACAGCGGAAUGAUUGCCGGGCUGAAGACUCUGCAUGACUAGCUG
Molecule: ribosomal RNA, 267 nt
Filed under: uncultured archaeon
Lineage: Archaea
Description: partial 16S ribosomal RNA
Rfam family: Archaeal small subunit ribosomal RNA
Source: RNAcentral